UGGUGGUAGGCAGCGAGCAUGUAACAACGGAAACGUGAUUCUAAGCAUAACAAAGCUAGAAACGGUGUCAAGGUCAUGGUCAUCUUGCAUGUGAUUUCUUUAGACGGGAACCGGUCUUGUUCUUCCUGCACGAACUCUCCAGAAUCCACGUACUCGCUAUCCAUUCCCGUUGCUACCCAAAGAUAAGAUAACAACAAAUAAAC
Molecule: long non-coding RNA, 203 nt
Filed under: Hordeum vulgare
Lineage: Eukaryota; Viridiplantae; Streptophyta; Magnoliopsida; Poales; Poaceae
Description: long non-coding RNA (HVUL_LNC016032)
Source: RNAcentral